RNAcentral lists this ribosomal RNA (254 nucleotides) under uncultured bacterium. RNAcentral's name for it is "partial 16S ribosomal RNA". It matches the Rfam family "Bacterial small subunit ribosomal RNA", at positions 524 to 776 of the family's 1533-position model. The record is from RNAcentral.
UACGUAGGGGGCAAGCGUUGUCCGGAUUCAUUGGGCGUAAAGAGCUCGUAGGCGGCUUAGCAAGUCGGGUGUGAAAACUCCAGGCUCAACCUGGAGACGCCACCCGAUACUGCUAUGGCUAGAGUCCGGUAGGGGACCACGGAAUUCCUGGUGUAGCGGUGAAAUGCGCAGAUAUCAGGAAGAACACCCGUGGCUAAGGCGGCUCUCUAGUACGGUACUGACGCUGAGACGCGAAAGCGUGGGGAGCGAACAGG